AGCUGAAUCUACAGUCGAGAUCGAUUUCACAAAAUUCGAUAUCAACCCGUGUCCUUAUUCGUACGGAAAUCCUACCCCUAAUUAUUUUGCUGGCAUCGCCGCCUGCAAAGACACAACUGAAUGCCAGCCACUGAGUGGAUUCGGGUUGAGCCGUGGUGGAUACGAGUGUGCGUGUCGACCAGGCUACCGCUACAAGAACCACACCCAGACGGAGCCUUUCAGAGGCGUGGAUAUCGAACUGGCCACAAAAGAAGAAUAUAUACACGGGUUCGAAUGUGAGGAAAUAGAAGGAGGGGACCAGCCUGUGUUGACAGACAAUGCUGUCCAACAGAGGCAGAGGGUCCUGAACAUAACAGCUGAUAACUGCCGUUCCACAUCCCCCAGUGACCUUGUUCUCCCCUACAACGAGCAGUUACUCAAGCAUUUCAAACCUCAAGGUCGCGUGGCAGUUCGUCUAGCUCACUUCCUAAGCAGCUUUCUUCAAACACAGUUCAACCCAGGACAGGACAGUGAGCUAAAGCCUCAG
This is a long non-coding RNA of Haliotis rufescens (red abalone), 526 nucleotides long. RefSeq lists it as uncharacterized. The record is from RefSeq and is a predicted model, not a curated record. The transcript is spliced from 3 exons. Lineage: Eukaryota; Metazoa; Mollusca; Gastropoda; Lepetellida; Haliotidae.